This 281-nucleotide long non-coding RNA is filed under the name Ictidomys tridecemlineatus (thirteen-lined ground squirrel). RNAcentral's name for it is "lncRNA (ENSSTOG00000030556.1)". Lineage: Eukaryota; Metazoa; Chordata; Mammalia; Rodentia; Sciuridae. The record is from RNAcentral.
AUCAAUUACUUUUCUGAGCACAGGAAUAACAGGCUUAAUCCUGCUCCACUGGAUUUCUCUACAUAAAAAUGACAAGAACUAAGAUGAUGAAGAUGAUAAUGGUAUUCUAUCCUUUCCUGGAUUACUUCUGUCACAUCCUAGAAGCCUCCGACUAAGAGGCUCACUCUGCAAACUGUUGAUUGCCAUGGGAUAGGGAAAGGGCAAGAAGCUGAAGCGGAUGACCUUUGGAAGAUCUAGGUUACAUGAACACCUUACAGAAGUCUGUCUUUGUUGGAGAAGAU